Non-coding RNA from Paramuricea clavata, 240 nucleotides. The record is from the annotation of a GenBank genome assembly. NCBI's taxonomy places the organism in Eukaryota, Metazoa, Cnidaria, Anthozoa, Malacalcyonacea, Plexauridae.
GACUUAACGACUAGACUUCAGUACACCUGUACACGUGUCUUCAAUUUAAUUAAAUCAAGACAGUUCACACUCUCGUCUCCUAGACACAACUACUUACUUACCUUUGUGUUUCCUUUAGUCCUUUGCUUCACUCUUCCACUCAUUAUUUAAUGUCUGUCAGGUCUGGGAGUUCUAUCCGCUUUCUACAAUGUUUUAUAGAGAAAAAAAUUAAAAUCCAAAAUAUUUUUGUCCGCCAUCUUG